UACGUAGGGGCAAGCGUUGUCCGGAUUUACUGGGCGUAAAGAGCGUGUAGGCGGCCAAGCAGGUCCGUUGUGAAAACUGGAGGCUUAACCUCCCGAGACGUCGACGGAAACCGCGUGGCUAGAGUCCGGAAGAGGAGAGUGGAAUUCCUGGUGUAGCGGUGAAAUGCGCAGAUAUCAGGAAGAACACCAGUGGCGAAGGCGGCUCUGGCGGACGUACUGACGGAGCGAAGAACGUGGGGAGCGAACAGG
This 249-nucleotide ribosomal RNA is filed under the name uncultured bacterium. RNAcentral's name for it is "partial 16S ribosomal RNA". It matches the Rfam family "Bacterial small subunit ribosomal RNA", at positions 524 to 776 of the family's 1533-position model. The record is from RNAcentral.